GCGGGGUUAGUUUAAUGGUAAAACAUCAGCCUUCCAAGCUGGUUAUACGGGUUCGAUUCCCGUACCCCGCU
Molecule: transfer RNA, 71 nt
Filed under: bacterium
Lineage: Bacteria
Also listed under: 3 other names
Description: tRNA-Gly
Rfam family: tRNA
About the family: Transfer RNA (tRNA) molecules are approximately 80 nucleotides in length. Their secondary structure includes four short double-helical elements and three loops (D, anti-codon, and T loops).
Source: RNAcentral